UACGUAGGGGGCGAGCGUUGUCCGGAUUUAUUGGACGUAAAGAGCGUGUAGGCGGCCAGGUAGGUCCGUUGUGAAAACUCGAGGCUCAACCUCGAGACGUCGAUGGAAACCAUCUGGCUAGAGUCCGGAAGAGGAGAGUGGAAUUCCUGGUGUAGCGGUGAAAUGCGCAGAUAUCAGGAGGAACACCGAUGGCGAAGGCAGGUCGUCUGGGCGAUUAACUGACGCUGAGGAGCGAAAGCAUGGGGAGCGAACAGG
Molecule: ribosomal RNA, 255 nt
Filed under: uncultured bacterium
Lineage: Bacteria
Description: partial 16S ribosomal RNA
Rfam family: Bacterial small subunit ribosomal RNA
Source: RNAcentral